RNAcentral lists this ribosomal RNA (256 nucleotides) under Lactococcus lactis. Its description in RNAcentral is "partial 16S ribosomal RNA". It matches the Rfam family "Bacterial small subunit ribosomal RNA", at positions 1286 to 1533 of the family's 1533-position model. The record is from RNAcentral. Lineage: Bacteria; Bacillati; Bacillota; Bacilli; Lactobacillales; Streptococcaceae.
UCUCAGUUCGGAUUGUAGGCUGCAACUCGCCUACAUGAAGUCGGAAUCGCUAGUAAUCGCGGAUCAGCACGCCGCGGUGAAUACGUUCCCGGGCCUUGUACACACCGCCCGUCACACCACGGGAGUUGGGAGUACCCGAAGUAGGUUGCCUAACCGCAAGGAGGGCGCUUCCUAAGGUAAGACCGAUGACUGGGGUGAAGUCGUAACAAGGUAGCCGUAUCGGAAGGUGCGGCUGGAUCACCUCCUUUCUAAGGAA